Molecule: ribosomal RNA, 83 nt
Filed under: Phocaeicola vulgatus
Lineage: Bacteria; Pseudomonadati; Bacteroidota; Bacteroidia; Bacteroidales; Bacteroidaceae
Also listed under: 2 other names
Source: RNAcentral
CUCUUCCCAUUCCGAACAGAGAAGUUAAGCCUUGUCACGCCGAUGGUACUGCGUCACAGUGGGAGAGUAGGUAGCCGCCGUUU